ACCGAGGGGCGGCCAAAUACAUGCAAGUCGAGCGAACAGAUAAGGAGCUUGCUCCUUUGACGUUAGCGGCGGACGGGUGAGUAACACGUGGGUAACCUACCUAUAAGACUGGGAUAACUUCGGGAAACCGGAGCUAAUACCGGAUAACAUUUGGAACCGCAUGGUUCUAAAGUGAAAGAUGGUUUUGCUAUCACUUAUAGAUGGACCCGCGCCGUAUUAGCUAGUUGGUAAGGUAACGGCUUACCAAGGCGACGAUACGUAGCCGACCUGAGAGGGUGAUCGGCCACACUGGAACUGAGACACGGUCCAGACUCCUACGGGAGGCAGCAGUAGGGAAUCUUCCGCAAUGGGCGAAAGCCUGACGGAGCAACGCCGCGUGAGUGAUGAAGGGUUUCGGCUCGUAAAACUCUGUUAUUAGGGAAGAACAAACGUGUAAGUAACUGUGCACGUCUUGACGGUACCUAAUCAGAAAGCCACGGCUAACUACGUGCCAGCAGCCGCGGUAAUACGUAGGUGGCAAGCGUUAUCCGGAAUUAUUGGGCGUAAAGCGCGCGUAGGCGGUUUCUUAAGUCUGAUGUGAAAGCCCACGGCUCAACCGUGGAGGGUCAUUGGAAACUGGGAAACUUGAGUGCAGAAGAGGAAAGUGGAAUUCCAUGUGUAGCGGUGAAAUGCGCAGAGAUAUGGAGGAACACCAGUGGCGAAGGCGACUUUCUGGUCUGUAACUGACGCUGAUGUGCGAAAGCGUGGGGAUCAAACAGGAUUAGAUACCCUGGUAGUCCACGCCGUAAACGAUGAGUGCUAAGUGUUAGGGGGUUUCCGCCCCUUAGUGCUGCAGCUAACGCAUUAAGCACUCCGCCUGGGGAGUACGACCGCAAGGUUGAAACUCAAAGGAAUUGACGGGGACCCGCACAAGCGGUGGAGCAUGUGGUUUAAUUCGAAGCAACGCGAAGAACCUUACCAAAUCUUGACAUCCUUUGAAAACUCUAGAGAUAGAGCCUUCCCCUUCGGGGGACAAAGUGACAGGUGGUGCAUGGUUGUCGUCAGCUCGUGUCCUGAGAUGUUGGGUUAAGUCCCGCAACGACCCCAACCCUUAAGCUUAGUUGCCAUCAUUAAGUUGGGCACUCUAGGUUGACUGCCGGUGACAAACCGGAAGAAGGUGGGGAUGACGUCAAAUCACCUGCCCCUUAGAAUUGGGCUAC
RNAcentral lists this ribosomal RNA (1199 nucleotides) under Staphylococcus sp. RNAcentral describes it as "bacterial SSU rRNA". It matches the Rfam family "Bacterial small subunit ribosomal RNA", at positions 33 to 1217 of the family's 1533-position model. The record is from RNAcentral. Lineage: Bacteria; Bacillati; Bacillota; Bacilli; Caryophanales; Staphylococcaceae.